Molecule: ribosomal RNA, 2903 nt
Filed under: Klebsiella pneumoniae
Lineage: Bacteria; Pseudomonadati; Pseudomonadota; Gammaproteobacteria; Enterobacterales; Enterobacteriaceae
Description: partial 23S ribosomal RNA
Rfam family: Bacterial large subunit ribosomal RNA
Source: RNAcentral
GGGUUGUGAGGUUAAGCGACUAAGCGUACACGGUGGAUGCCCUGGCAGUCAGAGGCGAUGAAGGACGUGCUAAUCUGCGAAAAGCGUCGGUAAGGUGAUAUGAACCGUUACAGCCGGCGAUGUCCGAAUGGGGAAACCCAGUGCAAUUCGUUGCACUAUCGUUAACUGAAUACAUAGGUUAACGAGGCGAACCGGGGGAACUGAAACAUCUAAGUACCCCGAGGAAAAGAAAUCAACCGAGAUUCCCCCAGUAGCGGCGAGCGAACGGGGAGCAGCCCAGAGUCUGAAUCAGCUUGUGUGUUAGUGGAACGGUCUGGAAAGUCCGACGGUACAGGGUGAUAGUCCCGUACACCAAAAUGCACAGGUUGUGAACUCGAAGAGUAGGGCGGGACACGUGGUAUCCUGUCUGAAUAUGGGGGGACCAUCCUCCAAGGCUAAAUACUCCUGACUGACCGAUAGUGAACCAGUACCGUGAGGGAAAGGCGAAAAGAACCCCGGCGAGGGGAGUGAAAAAGAACCUGAAACCGUGUACGUACAAGCAGUGGGAGCACCUUCGGGUGUGACUGCGUACCUUUUGUAUAAUGGGUCAGCGACUUAUAUUCUGUAGCAAGGUUAACCGUAUAGGGGAGCCGCAGGGAAACCGAGUCUUAACUGGGCGUUAAGUUGCAGGGUAUAGACCCGAAACCCGGUGAUCUAGCCAUGGGCAGGUUGAAGGUUGGGUAACACUAACUGGAGGACCGAACCGACUAAUGUUGAAAAAUUAGCGGAUGACUUGUGGCUGGGGGUGAAAGGCCAAUCAAACCGGGAGAUAGCUGGUUCUCCCCGAAAGCUAUUUAGGUAGCGCCUCGUGAAUUCAUCUUCGGGGGUAGAGCACUGUUUCGGCUAGGGGGUCAUCCCGACUUACCAACCCGAUGCAAACUACGAAUACCGAAGAAUGUUAUCACGGGAGACACACGGCGGGUGCUAACGUCCGUCGUGAAGAGGGAAACAACCCAGACCGCCAGCUAAGGUCCCAAAGUCAUGGUUAAGUGGGAAACGAUGUGGGAAGGCACAGACAGCCAGGAUGUUGGCUUAGAAGCAGCCAUCAUUUAAAGAAAGCGUAAUAGCUCACUGGUCGAGUCGGCCUGCGCGGAAGAUGUAACGGGGCUAAACCAUGCACCGAAGCUGCGGCAGCGACACUAUGUGUUGUUGGGUAGGGGAGCGUUCUGUAAGCCUGCGAAGGUGACCUGUGAGGGUUGCUGGAGGUAUCAGAAGUGCGAAUGCUGACAUAAGUAACGAUAAAGCGGGUGAAAAGCCCGCUCGCCGGAAGACCAAGGGUUCCUGUCCAACGUUAAUCGGGGCAGGGUGAGUCGACCCCUAAGGCGAGGCCGAAAGGCGUAGUCGAUGGGAAACAGGUUAAUAUUCCUGUACUUGGUGUUACUGCGAAGGGGGGACGGAGAAGGCUAUGUUAGCCGGGCGACGGUUGUCCCGGUUUAAGCAUGUAGGCUGGUUGUCCAGGCAAAUCCGGAUAAUCAAGGCUGAGGUGUGAUGACGAGGCACUACGGUGCUGAAGUAACAAAUGCCCUGCUUCCAGGAAAAGCCUCUAAGCAUCAGGUAACAUCAAAUCGUACCCCAAACCGACACAGGUGGUCAGGUAGAGAAUACCAAGGCGCUUGAGAGAACUCGGGUGAAGGAACUAGGCAAAAUGGUGCCGUAACUUCGGGAGAAGGCACGCUGGUGUGUAGGUGAAGUCCCUGCGGAUGGAGCUGAGACCAGUCGAAGAUACCAGCUGGCUGCAACUGUUUAUUAAAAACACAGCACUGUGCAAACACGAAAGUGGACGUAUACGGUGUGACGCCUGCCCGGUGCCGGAAGGUUAAUUGAUGGGGUUAUCCGUAAGGAGAAGCUCUUGAUCGAAGCCCCGGUAAACGGCGGCCGUAACUAUAACGGUCCUAAGGUAGCGAAAUUCCUUGUCGGGUAAGUUCCGACCUGCACGAAUGGCGUAAUGAUGGCCAGGCUGUCUCCACCCGAGACUCAGUGAAAUUGAACUCGCUGUGAAGAUGCAGUGUACCCGCGGCAAGACGGAAAGACCCCGUGAACCUUUACUAUAGCUUGACACUGAACAUUGAGCCUUGAUGUGUAGGAUAGGUGGGAGGCUUUGAAGCGUGGACGCCAGUCUGCGUGGAGCCAACCUUGAAAUACCACCCUUUAAUGUUUGAUGUUCUAACGUUGGCCCCUUACCGGGGUUGCGGACAGUGUCUGGUGGGUAGUUUGACUGGGGCGGUCUCCUCCCAAAGCGUAACGGAGGAGCACGAAGGUUAGCUAAUCCUGGUCGGACAUCAGGAGGUUAGUGCAAUGGCAUAAGCUAGCUUGACUGCGAGCGUGACGGCGCGAGCAGGUGCGAAAGCAGGUCAUAGUGAUCCGGUGGUUCUGAAUGGAAGGGCCAUCGCUCAACGGAUAAAAGGUACUCCGGGGAUAACAGGCUGAUACCGCCCAAGAGUUCAUAUCGACGGCGGUGUUUGGCACCUCGAUGUCGGCUCAUCACAUCCUGGGGCUGAAGUAGGUCCCAAGGGUAUGGCUGUUCGCCAUUUAAAGUGGUACGCGAGCUGGGUUUAGAACGUCGUGAGACAGUUCGGUCCCUAUCUGCCGUGGGCGCUGGAGAAUUGAGGGGGGCUGCUCCUAGUACGAGAGGACCGGAGUGGACGCAUCACUGGUGUUCGGGUUGUCAUGCCAAUGGCACUGCCCGGUAGCUAAAUGCGGAAGAGAUAAGUGCUGAAAGCAUCUAAGCACGAAACUUGCCCCGAGAUGAGUUCUCCCUGAGACUUUAAGUCUCCUGAAGGAACGGUAAGGACGAUGUCGUUGAUAGGCCGGGUGUGUAAGCGCAGCGAUGCGUUGAGCUAACCGGUACUAAUGAACCGUGAGGC